UUGCUUGUCGUAGGUUUUCAACUGAAAUUUUCACUCCUGAUUCACGUGGAGGUGCUUUUCCAUCCGAUUUAUUGUCUUCAAAGACUGUACUAACACCAGAGCGUACAAUAGGUAUGGGAAAGAAUAUAGUACCAUAUUCCAUAUGUAGCUGUUUGCCUUUAAAAAUAUUGUGAUGGUAGUGGCACUUUCAUUUUACCGUAGUUUGAAGCCAAUAUGCAUUGGUAGGAAACCUUUGGAAUUUUCUUUGGCUUUCUAUUGGAUAUAAGGAUAUCAAAGAUUGAGGACAAAUAUUGUUACCAAGCCACAUGAUAAUUUGUUUCUGUGCUAAAACUUGCCUCCAGGAAUCAUCUUGAAAGAUGCCAGCUCGUGAACCUAAGUCUCCAUGGUUUUAUAUUGCCUUCCGUUUGGCACUUGUGUUAGUUAAACUGAGUCCAGCUUAUAAGCAUUUCAGUAAUAGCAGGAAUAGGUCAAUGGUGCUUUUUUGUUUAAAAUGAGCAGCAUUGUUCUAUUGAAUUAAUGUAUUAUGGUGCAGGACUUUAUGAGGACCUGGUAAUUCCUGUGACAAAUUUUCAUAAUGAAGAGAAGGGCUUCAUGGUUUUGGCUGGUGAUGUUUUUGAUGUACCUAUUAGAAAGGAUAUUAUCCACCGUGUUGUACUAUGGCAGCUUGCAAAACGACAACAGGUGCCAUUUCAUCCUUCAAAAGCACACACAUCUAGGUAUUAUUGUGAAAUUCUUGAGACUAUUCCUUAUAUGUUUUUUUAACUUAAUACUUUCUUAGUUUCUUUCCUUUUUGUCCUUCUAUUUCCAAUAAAUUGUGUAAACAGUUUUUCACUUAUGCAGUCAAUCUGCUAAGUAUGAAGAUUAGUUACAAUUGAAUGGUCAACAGUGAACACAUUCAACAAAAACUAUUAGUGAGGUUAGUGGGACUGGUAGAAAGCCCUGGCAACAGAAGGGUCUUGGUCGAGCAAGGCAUGGAACUCUGCGUGGUCCCCAGUUUCGAGGUGGUGCUACUAUGCAUGGCCCUAAGCCAGGAAGUCAUGCUAUUAAGUUGAAUAAGAAGGUUCGACGCCUUGGACUGAAGAUUGCGCUGUCUGCUCGUGCUGCCGAAGGCAAGCUUCGUCUUUGAGGAUUUGGAGGUUCCUACACAUAAGACAAAAAAUAUUGUGAACUAUAUAAAUCAAAUGGAGAAUACUAAGAAACUUCUG
Durio zibethinus is the source of this 1205-nucleotide non-coding RNA. NCBI's taxonomy places the organism in Eukaryota, Viridiplantae, Streptophyta, Magnoliopsida, Malvales, Malvaceae. The record is from RefSeq and is a predicted model, not a curated record.